RNAcentral lists this long non-coding RNA (244 nucleotides) under Manihot esculenta (cassava). RNAcentral's name for it is "long non-coding RNA (MESC_LNC013028)". The record is from RNAcentral. Lineage: Eukaryota; Viridiplantae; Streptophyta; Magnoliopsida; Malpighiales; Euphorbiaceae.
AUAUCAUAGCACAUCAUUAAUGCACAUGCAUAAAAUCAUGGCAUUUCACAUCAUCAUGCAAGACAGGACUCCACAUCCUAUCCUAGUGGACAUGAUCUUUCCUAUUGUGCUUGACCUUCUAUAACACCUAUGAGCCCGACACUCUAGGUCCGACCAUAUGAACCUAGGGCUCUGAUACCAUUCUGUAACGACCCGAAAAUCGGACCGCUACCGGCGCUAGGAUCUGGGUCGACUUAAGGCCGCC